AUUGAACGCUGGCGGCAUGCCUUACACAUGCAGGUCGAACGGCAGCACGGGGGCAACCCUGGUGGCGAGUGGCGCACGGGUGAGUAACACGUAGGUAAUCUACCUUCGAGUGGGGAAUAACUCAGGGAAACUUGAGCUAAUACCGCAUAAUGCAGCGGCACCACAUGGUGACAGUUGUUAAAGCAUUUAUGCGCUUGAAGAGGAGCCUGCGGCGGAUUAGCUAGUUGGUAAGGUAAUGGCUUACCAAGGCUACGAUCUGUAACGGCCUGAGAGGGCGGACGGUCACACUGACACUGAAUAACGGGUCAGACUCCUACGGGAGGCAGCA
Molecule: ribosomal RNA, 328 nt
Filed under: uncultured bacterium
Lineage: Bacteria
Description: bacterial SSU rRNA
Rfam family: Bacterial small subunit ribosomal RNA
Source: RNAcentral